CCAAUAGCGUAUAUUAAAGUUGUUGCAGUUAAAAAGCUCGUAGUUGAAUUUCGGGGUCUGUCCGUCGGUCGGGCUUCACGGUCCGUACUGGUGUGAUGGGUUCCUACCUUCUGAAUCACCGGCAUGCCACUCAGUUGGUGCGCCGGGGAAGCAGAGCUAUUACCUUGUAAAAAUUAGAGUGCUUAAAGCAGGCUAGUGCUUGAAUAGAUUAGCAUGGAAUAAUAAAAUAGGACGGCAUGGUUCUAUUUUGUUGGUUUCUAGGAUCACCGUAAUGCUGAAUAGGGAUAGUUGGGGGCAUUAGUAUUCAAUUGUCAGAGGUGAAAUUCUUGGAUUUAUUUAAGACUAACUUCUGCGAAAGCAUUUGCCAAGGAUGUUUUCAUUAAUCAAGAACGAAAGUUAGGGGAUCGAAGACGAUCAGAUACCGUCGUAGUCUUAACCAUAAACUAUGCCGACUAGGGAUCGGACGAUGUUAAUUUUUUAAUGACUCGUUCGGCGCCUUACG
This 502-nucleotide ribosomal RNA is filed under the name uncultured Glomeromycotina. RNAcentral's name for it is "partial small subunit ribosomal RNA". It matches the Rfam family "Eukaryotic small subunit ribosomal RNA", at positions 591 to 1092 of the family's 1831-position model. Lineage: Eukaryota; Fungi; Glomeromycota. The record is from RNAcentral.